AUGCGGCGGUGUCGGGGCGCGGGGCUGGCGGCGCUGGCCGCGGUGCUGCUCGUGGCUGUGGGCAGAGCUCAGGUGCAGCAGGAGCCAUUCCUGGAGACGGCAGAAGGCACCAGUAUCACCAUCAAGUGCUCACACUCCAAUAUCCGAAUGGGCGAUUUCAUCCAUUUCUACCGUCAGCUCCCGGGCCAAAGACCUCAACUCCUGGCGGUCACUGCUAAAGCGCCCCAGCAAGUUCGAUCCGCUGAAGGGCGUCUGUCGGUGUCGGCAGAUCGGAGUUCGAGCUCGCUGUGGCUCAGGCGGCCCCGGCGCGGGGACGCGGCCGUGUAUUACUGUGCGCUGGGCCCACGGGCAGAGGAGCCGGGGCUGCGGCCGGGCACGAACCGGGGCGGGCGGGGCCCGCAGGGGCCGGGGGCACAGCGCCGCCCGCGGCCAGCAGGGGGCGCUGCCGCUCCGCCCGCCGGGCCCCAGGCGGCUCCGCAGCUCCUUCAGUGCCCCGAGCCCGCGCACAGCGACAGCGCCCAGCCCGCCACGGAAAAAACAAGGAAAGGGGAGAGCAAUGACCAGAGCACAUAA
Molecule: non-coding RNA, 573 nt
Organism: Catharus ustulatus (Swainson's thrush)
Lineage: Eukaryota; Metazoa; Chordata; Aves; Passeriformes; Turdidae
Source: the annotation of a RefSeq genome assembly